RNAcentral lists this ribosomal RNA (253 nucleotides) under uncultured bacterium. Its description in RNAcentral is "partial 16S ribosomal RNA". It matches the Rfam family "Bacterial small subunit ribosomal RNA", at positions 524 to 776 of the family's 1533-position model. The record is from RNAcentral.
UACGUAGGGUGCAAGCGUUGUCCGGAAUUAUUGGGCGUAAAGAGCGUGUAGGCGGCCCGAUUAGUCCGCUGUGAAAGUCCAGGGCUCAACCCUGGAAUGCCGGUGGAUACUGUCGGGCUAGAGUCCGGAAGGGGCGAGUGGAAUUCCUGGUGUAGCGGUGAAAUGCGCAGAUAUCAGGAGGAACACCAAUGGCGAAGGCAGCUCGCUGGGACGUGACUGACGCUGAGACGCGAAAGCGUGGGGAGCAAACAUG